This 744-nucleotide ribosomal RNA is filed under the name uncultured bacterium. Its description in RNAcentral is "bacterial SSU rRNA". It matches the Rfam family "Bacterial small subunit ribosomal RNA", at positions 8 to 796 of the family's 1533-position model. The record is from RNAcentral.
AGAGUUUGAUCCUGGCUCAGAGCGAACGCUGGCGGCAGGCUUAACACAUGCAAGUCGAGCGGGCGUAGCAAUACGUCAGCGGCAGACGGGUGAGUAACGCGUGGGAACGUACCUCUUGGUUCGGAACAACCCAGGGAAACUUGGACUAAUACCGGAUAAGCCCUUACGGGGAAAGAUUUAUCGCCGAAAGAUCGGCCCGCGUCUGAUUAGCUAGUUGGUGAGGUAAUGGCUCACCAAGGCGACGAUCAGUAGCUGGUCUGAGAGGAUGAUCAGCCACAUUGGGACUGAGACACGGCCCAAACUCCUACGGGAGGCAGCAGUGGGGAAUAUUGGACAAUGGGCGCAAGCCUGAUCCAGCCAUGCCGCGUGAGUGAUGAAGGCCCUAGGGUUGUAAAGCUCUUUUGUGCGGGAAGAUAAUGACGGUACCGCAAGAAUAAGCCCCGGCUAACUUCGUGCCAGCAGCCGCGGUAAUACGAAGGGGGCUAGCGUUGCUCGGAAUCACUGGGCGUAAAGGGUGCGUAGGCGGGUCUUUAAGUCAGGGGUGAAAUCCUGGAGCUCAACUCCAGAACUGCCUUUGAUACUGAAGAUCUUGAGUUCGGGAGAGGUGAGUGGAACUGCGAGUGUAGAGGUGAAAUUCGUAGAUAUUCGCAAGAACACCAGUGGCGAAGGCGGCUCACUGGCCCGAUACUGACGCUGAGGCACGAAAGCGUGGGGAGCAAACAGGAUUAGAUACCCUAGUAGUCC